UGCAAGUCGAACGAAGCUUUCGGGCUUAGUGGCGCACGGGUGCGUAACGCGUAUGCAAUUUACCUUUUACAGGGGGACAACACUAGGAAACUGGUGCUAAUACCGCGUAAUAAAUAGAGAGGCAUCUUUUUAUUUUAAAAGAAUUUCGGUAAGAGAUAAGCAUGCGUCCCAUUAGCUAGUUGGUAAGGUAACGGCUUACCAAGGCCACGAUGGGUAGGGGAACUGAGAGGUUUAUCCCCCACACUGGUACUGAGAUACGGACCAGACUCCUACGGGAGGCAGCAGUAAGGAAUAUUGGGCAAUGGGCGAGAGCCUGACCCAGCCAUGCCGCGUGCAGGAUGACGCUCCUCGUUGGGUGUAAACUGCUUUUAUUAGGGAAGAACAAGUUUCUGCGGAGACAACUGACGGUACCUAAUGAAUAAGCACCGGCUAACUACGUGCCAGCAGCCGCGGUAAUACGUAGGGUGCAAGCGUUGUCCGGAUUUAUUGGGUUUAAAGGGUGUGUAGGCGGUCUAGUAAGUUUUGGGUGAAAGCCCACCGCUCAACGGUGGAACUGCCUGAGAUACUGCUAGACUUGAGUAUAGUUAAAGUUACUAGAAUUGGUGGUGUAGCGGUGAAAUGCAUAGAUACCACCAGGAAUACCAAUUGCGAAGGCAGGUAACUAGGCUAUAACUGACGCUGAGGCACGAAAGCAUGGGUAGCGAACAGGAUUAGAUACCCUGGUAGUCCAUGCUGUAAACGAUGAGGACUCG
Molecule: ribosomal RNA, 752 nt
Filed under: uncultured bacterium
Lineage: Bacteria
Description: bacterial SSU rRNA
Rfam family: Bacterial small subunit ribosomal RNA
Source: RNAcentral